Ipomoea nil (Japanese morning glory) is the source of this 3374-nucleotide RNA transcript. It is a transcript of the gene named putative disease resistance protein RGA3, with no coding region annotated. The record is from RefSeq and is a predicted model, not a curated record. Lineage: Eukaryota; Viridiplantae; Streptophyta; Magnoliopsida; Solanales; Convolvulaceae. The transcript has 2 exons.
GCUCUCUCUCUCUCUCUCUCUCUCUCUACCAGGCCAGCAUUCUUAUUUGCGAUUUGUGGAUUAUGGCAGAAGCACUAACCCAAGUAGUUGUGGAGAAUCUCAAUUCUCUGAUCCGAAGAGAGUUUGGAUUGCUAUUGGGCUUCCAAAAGGAAAUGGAAAAGCUAUCCAGCUUGCUCUCAACCAUUCAGGAUGUUCUGGAAGAUGCAGAGGAGAAACAACUGAAAGAUAAGGUCCUGCGCAAUUGGCUGCUAAAGCUCAAUGCUGCUGCUUAUGAAGUGGAUGAUAUCUUGGAUGAUUGCGCAACUGAAGCCUCCAAGCUUCAAAACAAAGACCAAACAUUCAUCAAACGCCUGGUAAGUAAUCCUGUAGGGAACAUUUUGUUUUGUCACAGGAUUGGGAAAAGAAUGGAAGCAGUGAUACAAAAACUGGACGCCAUAGCUGAGGAGCGGAUUAAGUUCCAUUUGAGGGAAAUAGGUGAUAGGAUGCCAGUUUAUGAAACGCGUGAGACUGGAUCAAUCUUGAUGCAGACGAGUAUCUUUGGAAGGGAUCAAGAUAAGGAGAGAAUUAUAGAGAUAUUGAUUGAUGAAACAAGUGGUUGUGAAGAUGUUUCAAUCCUACCCAUAUUAGGAAUUGGGGGUUUAGGAAAGACUACCCUUGCCCAAAUGGUUUUCAAUGACCAAAGGGUGUUUGGACACUUUGAUCUAAGACUUUGGGUAUGUGUUACAAGUGACUUUGAUGUCAAGAGAUUGAUAAAGGAAAUUUUAGAAUCCGCCACUAGGAAUGGUUCUGAUGCAUUGAGACUAGAUCCUCUACAGAGAAGCCUUCAAGACUUGUUAAAUAAAAAAAGAUUCUUACUUGUGUUGGAUGAUGUAUGGGAUGGGGAUCAAGAUAAGUGGGAUAGCUUGAAAGAUGUUCUUGCUUAUGGAGCAACAGGGUCUUCUAUUAUCAUCACUACUCGUCUUGAGAAGGUUGCAAUGAUUGUGGGGACUCUACCUACUUAUUGUUUAUCCGGUUUGUCAGACGAAGAUUGUUGGUCGCUUUUCAAACAGCGUGCAUUUGAGAAAGAAACAGAAGGAGGAGCUAGACUAGAGGAAAUUGGUAGGGAAAUUGUGACAAAAUGUGGGGGUGUACCUCUAGCUGCAAAAGCUCUUGGAGGAUUUAUGCGUUUUAAGAAAGAAGAGAAGGAAUGGUUAUUAGUAAAAGAAAGUGAAAUUUGGAACUUGCCACAAGGGGAGACUUGUAUUUUGCCUGCCCUCAGAUUGAGUUAUCAUAACCUUCCUUCUGAGUUGAGAAGAUGUUUUGCAUAUUGUUCUGUAUUUCGCAAGAGAACUGCAAUUAAGAAGGAAAAGCUGAUUCAUCUUUGGAUAGCGAAUGGAUUCAUUUCAUCCCGUGGAAGUUUGGAAAUUGAGGAGGUUGGAAAUGAGGUGUGGAAUGAGUUGUACCUGAGAUCCUUUUUCCAGGAUGUGCAGAAGAAUGACUUUGGAGAGGUUACUUUUGAAAUGCACGACCUCAUUCAUGACCUUGCCCAUUUUGUGAUGGAGGGCAGCCGGAUUAGCCAGCAGAUGUUACUCAGAGAUCAUUAUCUAUCACUACCACUUAUUAUCACAACUCAAAUACUUAAGGAGCCUUCAAAAUUCAGUCGCCUUCGAGUGUUGGAUGCAAGUUGGCAAUUGGAAAAAAUCACAAAAGUACCAUCUGCAAUUGGCAGUCUUUAUCACCUAAGGUACUUAAGUUUUUCGCACACCAGAAUUCAAAUGUUACCUGAUAGGAUAUGUGAUCUAUGGAAUUUACAAAUUCUAAAUCUGGAUUUCUGCCGGGUGCUUCAAAGUUUACCCAAGCGCAUUUCUCGCCUUAAAAAUCUCCGGCAUCUUUGCUUGUUAGGUUGUCCCCUAAUUGAAAUGCCCCCCAGUAUUGGUCAGUUAACUUGCCUAAAAACAUUAAACAUGUUUGUUGUCGGCAAACAAAGAGGUUUUGAGAUUAGUGAAUUGCGAGACUUGAAUCUUGGAGGUAUUCUUCGUAUCACAAACCUGGAGAAAGUGAAAAGCUUUGAGGAUGCAAAAGAGGCCAAUUUAAGAGGAAAACAAGAUCUUCGACACUUGUGGUUGUCAUGGGAUUCUGAAAACGAUACUAGUAAUGCACAUAUUCAUCAUGAUCAUGACAUACUUAAUUACCUUGUUCCUCAUUCCCAACUUCAUUCUUUUAGAAUAUAUGGCUUCAGAGGUACAACAUUUCCAUUUUGGAUGAGCAGUCCAAUAAUGAAAGAUGUCAUCGAAAUAAGUCUAUUGAACUGCAAAAAUUGUUUCAAUCUUCCACUACUUGGGGAGCUACCUUUAUUGAAAAUUUUGAAUUUAGUAGGACUUCCUAUUGAGUAUGUUGACAAUGAAUUCCCUGGCUUGAUGAGAAUAAGGAGGUUCCCAUCAUUGACUAAACUCAAAAUGAAUAACCUUCCAAAGCUGAGAAAAUUAUCCAGGCAGGAAGGACAUGAGCUGCUGCUAUUUCCUCAUCUCUGCAAGUUGGAAAUAAGCAACUGCCCUUCAUUUAUAUCUCUGCCAGAAAACUUACUGCAUAACCUCAAUCAUUUGGAGGUAUUGAGUAUUAGCAGGCUUGAUAAGCUUCAAAUGCUGCCUACAAGCCUUUCAAGCUUGACUCGUCUCCAGUAUCUGCACAUAGAUGGCUGUCCUAAACUUGUGUCUCUUCCACAAAGCAUUCAGAGAAUGGAAAAUCUUAAAGUCUUGUCAAUAACGCAGGGGUGCCCAGAACUGCAAAGGCGAUAUGAUAAGGGAAAUGGGGCGCACUGGCGUGACAUUGCUCACAUCCCAAAUGUGUAUAUUAUUCCGUAGGAUAUAAUCUGAUAAGACCGCUUUCUCUCUCUCUGCAAUGCUUUGAAACGCAUUACACUUGAGGUGCUUGUAUGGUGAACCUUUGGUUUCUGCUGUGAAAUCGGAUUUCACGGUGAAGAUUCAUUAACUCCUCAAGUGCAAUCCACACAAAAGAAUGUCAUUGAAGGUGACCAGGUGAUUGCUAUUCAUUAAGGAAUUGGGUCUGCAUUCAUGCAGUGAUUGGAGCCGGGCAUCUCUAAUGCACCAUUUUGAGGGGAGAAAGUCUUGGGCUAAGGGGGGACCAUAAACCAUGGUCCAUGAUAUAAUUUGUCAAGUUGGUGAUUGGUUGUGAGCAUGGGGUGUAUGGUGAGUGCAAGUGUAAUGUCGUCCUUUUGAGAUUAGGGAUUAUGGCACGUAAUAUGUAAUAACAAGAAAGUAAGCACUCAAUUGUUAUACCAUGAACCAGGGUUCAUAUGGUAUUGUGAACCCUGAUACAAAAAUUAUAUACCUUCAGUUAACACAUUCUGUACCUACAGUAAACAAUUUAUGUACAUG